Molecule: unclassified non-coding RNA, 240 nt
Filed under: soil metagenome
Description: partial contains 5.8S ribosomal RNA, internal transcribed spacer 2, and large subunit ribosomal RNA
Source: RNAcentral
AAGACUAUAGACCUGCGGAGUACCUGCGGAAGGAUCAUUACCGAGUUUUCAACUCCCAAACCCCAUGUGAACUUAUACCAUUUACACCGUUGCUUCGGCGGGUUCUCGCCCCGGGCUUUACAACCCCGGAACCAGGCGGCCCGCCGGGGGACCCAAACUCUAGAUUUUAUUUUAGCAUGUCUGAGUGGAAUCAUUACAAAAUGAAUCAAAACUUUCAACAACGGAUCUCUAGAUCGGAAG